Molecule: ribosomal RNA, 549 nt
Filed under: uncultured bacterium
Lineage: Bacteria
Description: bacterial SSU rRNA
Rfam family: Bacterial small subunit ribosomal RNA
Source: RNAcentral
CUCCUGGAAACGGGUGGUAAUGCCGGAUGCUCCAGAUGACCGCAUGGGAUUCUGGGAAAGCUUUUGCGGCAUGGGAUGGGGUCGCGUCCUAUCAGCUUGUUGGUGGGGUGAUGGCCCACCAAGGCUUCGACGGGUAGCCGGCCUGAGAGGGCGACCGGCCACAUUGGGACUGAGAUACGGCCCAGACUCCUACGGGAGGCAGCAGUGGGGAAUAUUGCGCAAUGGGCGAAAGCCUGACGCAGCGACGCCGCGUGCGGGAUGGAGGCCUUCGGGUUGUAAACCGCUUUUAUCGGGGAGCAAGCGAGAGUGAGUGUACCCGUUGAAUAAGCACCGGCUAACUACGUGCCAGCAGCCGCGGUAAUACGUAGGGUGCAAGCGUUAUCCGGAUUUAUUGGGCGUAAAGGGCUCGUAGGCGGUUCGUCGCGUCUGGUGUGAAAGUCCAUCGCUUAACAGUGGAUCUGCGCCGGGUACGGGCGGGCUGGAGUGCGGCAGGGGACGACUGGAAUUCCCGGUGUAACGGUGGAAUGUGUAGAUAUCGGGAAGAACACC